Molecule: transfer RNA, 75 nt
Filed under: Galdieria sulphuraria
Lineage: Eukaryota; Rhodophyta; Bangiophyceae; Galdieriales; Galdieriaceae
Description: tRNA-Thr
Rfam family: tRNA
About the family: Transfer RNA (tRNA) molecules are approximately 80 nucleotides in length.
Source: RNAcentral
AGCUGAUAUAGCUCAAUUGGUAGAGCAACUGAUUUGUAAUCAGUAGGUUAUGGGUUCAAGUCCCUUUAUCAGCUU